This 72-nucleotide transfer RNA is filed under the name Marmota marmota marmota (Alpine marmot). It matches the Rfam family "tRNA". Rfam says of the family: Transfer RNA (tRNA) molecules are approximately 80 nucleotides in length. Their secondary structure includes four short double-helical elements and three loops (D, anti-codon, and T loops). RNAcentral also lists the same sequence under 1 other name. Lineage: Eukaryota; Metazoa; Chordata; Mammalia; Rodentia; Sciuridae. The record is from Rfam by way of RNAcentral.
GGGGAUAUAGCUCAGUUGGUAGAGUGCCUGCUUUGCAUGCACAAGGCCCUGGGUUCAAUCCCCAGCACCCCA